This 494-nucleotide long non-coding RNA is filed under the name Apteryx rowi (Okarito brown kiwi). Its description in RNAcentral is "lncRNA (ENSARWG00000013134.1)". Lineage: Eukaryota; Metazoa; Chordata; Aves; Apterygiformes; Apterygidae. The record is from RNAcentral.
UUUUAUACGACACAUUUUUAUAUUGCACCUGCAAUACACAGGCUCACAUAGUUUCACAGAGAGCUGUAAACUAUACCAUAAAGGAAGGUUUUUMAGAGCAGAGGAAUUUGAGAAUAUCCUGCGGAAGACAUUGCAAGAGGAUGCACACAAGGAUUUCAGCAAAGAUAAUGUCCAAGCAGAGAUGUUCCACUGGCAAGAGUAUGCUAURUCAAACACUGUGGGCCGAGUAGUUGUGAGCAACCAGCACAACAGCUGGCAGUACAGCAGCAAGAAUGAAAAGGGGAAAGGCAGACAGUGAACAAGAUGGACAUCUCCUGCCACGAGUUAUUGACCAGCAACACAUGGUGGAACAAAUGUUAAGUUAGUGGAUUGAAUGUCAAGGGGGAGGGACAGCAGAACAUUCAGAUGUAGUGUUCCUGGAGUUGUGUAUGAAGCUCAUCAGCUUUCUAAUGUGUCAAAAUGAGAAAACUCAGCUGUGGUAAUGCUGGAGUAAG